Molecule: long non-coding RNA, 690 nt
Filed under: Gallus gallus (chicken)
Lineage: Eukaryota; Metazoa; Chordata; Aves; Galliformes; Phasianidae
Source: RNAcentral
CCCGAGCCCGCUGGGAUGGCAUAGCACUAGGUGGGGCUGGGAAUUUCUCUGUUUGCAGGCUUGGCAAUCCCUCUGAGCACACACAACCUGCCCAAAGGACACGAAUCUGUGCAGACAGCAAGUGGGAUGCUCCCCUCUCCACGCACAGAAAACCUUUUUGUGAACAAGUGAGAGAACUGGUCGUGGCACAGGGGCAGCAUCCUCCGCUUUCCUGGAAGUGUCUGAAAUUUUGCAGGCUCUGAUGUCCAUUCCCCAUGCCCACUGAUCUGCUCGAUUGGGAUCGUUGCUUCCUGGAGAUUCCAGUUAACAGCCAAGCCCCCUUUCAGUGGCUCUGCUGGUGGCAGCCUGGGGAUGAGGAAUAGCCUUCAACAGGUGGCAAGAAAUGGAUUGAUGCAGUCAAAAUCAUUAAGACUAGAAGGACCACUGAGAUCAUCUAGUAUAGCCAUUAACCCAUACACGUGAACGUCACUGAUUGAUCUAAGCCUAGCCUUCAGCUCUGAUCUCUUGGGGAUGGAUGCAAUCCUCAAGGGCAAUAGCAAUGAUUCCCAAUGCUCUGCAGCACCCCAGGCCCAGUUCUAGCUUUCUGACUGGCUCUCAUCUCUGGGUUCAGACUAUCUCCCAUCCUUUGAAUAGACCCUCUGAACAUGGACAAGAUUCAAGAACCUUGAAGACGAGUUUGAUGUCUCUGUC